ACCCGACUGCUAUUGGAGUAGGACUAAGUCACGCUAGUUAAAGGUGCGGAAUGGAGCACCUAGCGCACGGCUCAGUAACACGUAGUCAAUCUGCCCUAAGGACGGGUACAACCACGGGAAACUGUGGAUAAUACCCGAUAGGAAAUUUGGCCUGGAACGGUAUCUUUCCGAAAACCGGCUAGCCGUUAGACACGGGCCUUAGGAUGGGGCUGCGGCCGAUUAUGCUAGAUGGUGGUGUAGAGGACCACCAUGGCGACGAUCGGUAUGGGCGAUGGAAGUCGGAGCCCAGAGUCGGCCACUGAGACAAGGGGCCGAGCCUUACGAGGCUUAGCGGUCGCGAAAACUCGCCAAUGCACGAAAGUGUGAGUGGGCUACUCCAAGUGUCAUUCUUACGGAUGACUGUCGCUCAGUAUUACAAGCUGAGAAAGGAAGGAGAGGGCAAGGCUGGUGCCAGCCGCCGCGGUAAAACCAGCUCUUCGAGUGGUCGGGACGUAUAUUGGGUCUAAAGCGCUCGUAGCCGGACAAGUAGGUUCCUGGUUAAACCCGACAGCAUAACUGUUGGCUCGCUGGGAAUACCGCUAGUCUUGGAAGCGGGAGAGGACAGAGGUAGUCAUGGGGCAGGGGUGAAAUCCAGUGAUCCCAUGGCGACCACCGAUGGCGAAGGCAUCUGUCUGGAACGUAUUCGACGGUGAGGAGCGAAAGCUAGGGGAGCGACCCGGAUUAGAUACCCGGUUAGUCCUAGCCGUAAACGAUGCGGACUAGGUGUUGCGGUGGCCAAGAGCCACUGCGGUGCCACAGCGAAGGCGUUAAGUCCGCCACCUGGGGAGUACGGAUGCAAGUCUGAAACUUAAAGGAAUUGACGGGGGCGCACCACCAGGAGUGAAGCCUGCGGUUUAAUUGGAUUCAACGCCGAAAAACUUACCUAAUCAGACGGCAGGAUGAAGCUCAAGCUAAUGACUUUAGCUAACUAGCCGAGAGGAAGUGCAUGGCCGUCGACAGUUCGUGCUGUGAAGUGUCCUGUUAAGUCAGGCAACGAACGAGAUCCACGUCUGCAAUUGCCAGCGGGUCCCUUAGGGAUGCCGGGAACCUUGCAGAGACUGCUUGGUGCUAAACCAGAGGAAGGAGUGGGCAACGGCAGGUCAGUAU
RNAcentral lists this ribosomal RNA (1146 nucleotides) under uncultured archaeon. RNAcentral's name for it is "bacterial SSU rRNA". It matches the Rfam family "Archaeal small subunit ribosomal RNA", at positions 21 to 1152 of the family's 1478-position model. The record is from RNAcentral.